Non-coding RNA from Struthio camelus australis, 773 nucleotides. The record is from RefSeq and is a predicted model, not a curated record. NCBI's taxonomy places the organism in Eukaryota, Metazoa, Chordata, Aves, Struthioniformes, Struthionidae.
GGACACGCAUGGGGACACAGGACACAGGGACACGCACAGGGACAUGCAUGAGGCACGUGGGGACAUGCAUGGGGACAUGCAUGGGGACACAGGAGAGAGGGACAUGCACAGGGACAUGCGUGGGGCAUGUGGGGACAUGCAUGGGGACAUGCACACAGACACGGGACAGAGGGACAUGCACAGGGACAUGCGUGGGGCACAUGGGGACACACACAGGGACAUACAUGGGGAUAUAGGCCAUGGGGACAUGCACAUGAACACAGGACAGACGGGGACAUGCACAGGGACAUGCAUGGGGCACAUGGGGACACGCAUGGAGACAUGCAUGGGGACAUACAUGGGGACACAGGACACAGGGACAUGCACCCCCGGGGACAUGCGUGGGGCACAUGGGGACAAAUAUGGGGACACACAUGGGGACACAGGACAGAGGGACAUGCACAGGGACAUGCAUGGGCACAUGGGGACACACAUGGGGACACGCAUGGGGAUGCACACCGUGGGGACAUGCAUAGGACAUGCACAGGGACAUGGAACACAGGGACAUGGAUGGGGACAUGCAUGGGCACAUGGGGACACAGGGACAUGCAUAGGACAUGCAUAGGGACAUGCAUGGGGACAUGCAUGGGGACAUGCAUGGAGGGACAUAAGGACACAUGGCAGACACAAAUGGGGACAUGGGGCAUGUGGGGACACACGUGAGGACACUCAUGUGGGGACACAUGAGGGGAUAGGGAACACGGGGACAUGCAUGGGGACACAGGAUACAGGGA